Molecule: ribosomal RNA, 254 nt
Filed under: uncultured bacterium
Lineage: Bacteria
Description: partial 16S ribosomal RNA
Rfam family: Bacterial small subunit ribosomal RNA
Source: RNAcentral
UACGUAGGGUGCAAGCGUUGUCCGGAAUUAUUGGGCGUAAAGAGCUCGUAGGCGGUGUGUCGCGUCGGCCGUGAAAACCUGCAGCUUAACUGUGGGCUUGCGGUCGAUACGGGCAUCACUGGAGUUCGGCAGGGGAGACUGGAAUUCCUGGUGUAGCGGUGAAAUGCGCAGAUAUCAGGAGGGACACCGGUGGCGAAGGCGGGUCUCUGGGCCGAUACUGACGCUGAGGAGCGAAAGCGUGGGGAGCGAACAGG